This 1526-nucleotide long non-coding RNA is filed under the name Equus asinus (donkey). RNAcentral's name for it is "lncRNA (ENSEASG00005036039.1, ENSEASG00020024893.1)". Lineage: Eukaryota; Metazoa; Chordata; Mammalia; Perissodactyla; Equidae. The record is from RNAcentral.
ACAGAUUCUUAUUUUGAUAGUGUACUGGUCUACUAUUUGGUGAUACAAACGGUAACAGCAAUGCUGGUUGGUAAAAUAUUGAAAUACUUGCAUAGUGGUUGGCCUUGAAUGCCUUCUGCUCAACCUUUGUCUGCACUUUAAGAGCAACUUCAGUCUUCAUCUCAGUCAGGAUGCCCUCCAUGUCAACAGCAUAUGGUGACUAGUUAAGGGGUAGACGUGCGCCACCUGGCUCAGCCUUGAGAAUUUUGCUUGAGUUGCUGAGACAAAGAUAUGUGCUUUCCACUGGGAUAUAACUGUGGUAGAAUAAAGGAAAGACUCCCAAAAGCCACCUUUGCAACCCCAGUGAAGAGUCUAAUGGAGGGUUGACGCCAACACAGAGAAAACCAAGUCCAGGGAUGGUGAGAGACUGUGUGCGCCCCUGGAUCCAGGUACUGAAUGCUGGCUAGGUCCAUCCCUGGACUUUUCAGGUAAGGAGCUCAGAAACUGAUCACUUCGCUUGAGUUGGAAUAUCACUUGGAACAGAGUUCUAAAAUAGACCUUUUAAGCAUGUUCCCACUCCAAAAGGUGAAGAAAGCCUAAUUUUUUCCCCCAGGUUCUUGAGUGCUCAUAGCUGAUUUCUUCCUCUUCAUAUCAGUCUCUACCAUUCACUAUUGUUAAAGCCAAAAGUUAACAAGUUCACAGGAAGUACCACUUAGGGCUGAUUACCUUGCUGGGAUUCCCAAGAGUAGCAUGAGGCCUAGAGAUUUUAUAAUAACAUACGAGAUGGAGAAGCUGCAAAGGGAAGGGGAAGGGAGAGCAGGAGAGAACUUGAAUCAACUCUGCUACAGAAUUACCGAUUUCUUCCUGGGCAGCUACAUUCUGAUUAAACCAACUGCUGGGGGGUGAGGGAUGAGGAAGGAACAGACUGUGAUGACUAUCACCAUUUGAGUUUUACUCUGCUAUAUGCCGCUCUUCUAUCAAGUAACCCGAGGAAACACCUUAUAGGAAUAGCUCUCAAGACGUGGUUCCUGGGCCAGCAGCACCUGGUAGCUCGUUAGAGAUGUGUCCAGGUCAACGCUGGAGCAUGAGGAAAGCAAAUUGGGUUGAACCUCUUCACAGGACCUGCUUCCUGAGAUCUUCUCGCCAGCAGCCUGCAGUGUGGGCUUUCUGAGAACAGAGGGCAUGAGGAAACGCCACAGCCCCAGAGACGUUCUCUGCCUGCAGGUGCUGACAAUACACAGACACACACCUGUGUCUAAGUGGGCCCAUUUUCACCUCUGGGAACAGGCCCUGCUGAGGAGGGGAGGUCCUCCAGCACAGCAAGGCAAGCCUGCUCACUCGGUCCUGCUUCCCACAGUCCAGCAAGCCCUGCUGGUUGCUUGUCAUUCCCUUCCUCUCUCGUGUCACCAUCUAGCAGCAUUCUGGGAGACGAUGACCCUUCUUUUCUCACGUACUCUAAUCCCAUGUUACCCAAGUGUGGUCCGUGGACCAGCAGCACCUGCAUUACCUGGGAACUUGGAAAAGCAGAGUCUCAGGCCACACCCAAC